GUGCUCACUUCAGCACUAUACUAAAAUUGGAACUAUACAAAGAUUAGCAUGGCCUCUAUGCAAGGAUGAAAUGCGAAUUUCAUGAAGCAUUCCAUAUUUUU
This is a small nuclear RNA of Erinaceus europaeus (western European hedgehog), 101 nucleotides long. The record is from Ensembl. NCBI's taxonomy places the organism in Eukaryota, Metazoa, Chordata, Mammalia, Eulipotyphla, Erinaceidae.